This 319-nucleotide ribosomal RNA is filed under the name Acanthamoeba sp. Its description in RNAcentral is "SSU rRNA". It matches the Rfam family "Eukaryotic small subunit ribosomal RNA", at positions 808 to 1098 of the family's 1831-position model. Lineage: Eukaryota; Discosea; Longamoebia; Acanthamoebidae. The record is from RNAcentral.
CAUGGGAUAAUGGAAUAGGACCCUGUCCUCCUAUUUUCAGUUGGUUUUGGCAGCGCGAGGACUAGGGUAAUGAUUAAUAGGGAUAGUUGGGGGCAUUAAUAUUUAAUUGUCAGAGGUGAAAUUCUUGGAUUUAUGAAAGAUAACUUCUGCGAAAGAUCUGCCAAAGGAUGUUUUCAUUAAUAAGAACGAAAGUUAGGGGAUCGAAGACGAUCAGAUACCGUUGUAGUUUUUAACCAUAAACGAUGCCGACCAGCGAUUAGGAGACGUUGAAUACAAAACACCACCAUCAACGCGGUCGUCCUUGGCGCGUUCGUGUCAC